GACGAACGCUGGUGGCGUGCUUAACACAUGCAAGUCGAACGGAAAGGCCCUGCUUUUGUGGGGUGCUCGAGUGGCGAACGGGUGAGUAACACGUGAGUAACCUGCCCUUGACUUUGGGAUAACUUCAGGAAACUGGGGCUAAUACCGGAUAGGAGCUCCUGCUGCAUGGUGGGGGUUGGAAAGUUUCGGCGGUUGGGGAUGGACUCGCGGCUUAUCAGCUUGUUGGUGGGGUAGUGGCUUACCAAGGCUUUGACGGGUAGCCGGCCUGAGAGGGUGACCGGCCACAUUGGGACUGAGAUACGGCCCAGGCUCCUACGGGAGGCAGCAGUGGGGAAUAUUGCACAAUGGGCGGAAGCCUGAUGCAGCAACGCCGCGUGCGGGAUGACGGCCUUCGGGUUGUAAACCGCUUUCGCCUGUGACGAAGCGUGAGUGACGGUAAUGGGUAAAGAAGCACCGGCUAACUACGUG
Molecule: ribosomal RNA, 468 nt
Filed under: uncultured bacterium
Lineage: Bacteria
Description: partial 16S ribosomal RNA
Rfam family: Bacterial small subunit ribosomal RNA
Source: RNAcentral